GCUCACUUUGGCAGAAUGUGUAAUAAAAUUGGAACAACACAGAGAUUAGCAUGGCCCCUGAGCAAGGAUGACACAGAAAUUUGUGAAGCUUCCAUAUUUUUU
This 102-nucleotide small nuclear RNA is filed under the name Castor canadensis (American beaver). The record is from RNAcentral. Lineage: Eukaryota; Metazoa; Chordata; Mammalia; Rodentia; Castoridae.